AGCCUGAUGCAGCCAUGCCGCGUGUGUGAAGAAGGCCUUCGGGUUGUAAAGCACUUUCAGUCAGGAGGAAAGGUUAGUAGUUAAUACCUGCUAGCUGUGACGUUACUGACAGAAGAAGCACCGGCUAACUCCGUGCCAGCAGCCGCGGUAAUACGGAGGGUGCGAGCGUUAAUCGGAAUUACUGGGCGUAAAGCGUACGCAGGCGGUUUGUUAAGCGAGAUGUGAAAGCCCCGGGCUCAACCUGGGAACUGCAUUUCGAACUGGCAAACUAGAGUGUGAUAGAGGGUGGUAGAAUUUCAGGUGUAGCGGUGAAAUGCGUAGAGAUCUGAAGGAAUACCGAUGGCGAAGGCAGCCACCUGGGUCAACACUGACGCUCAUGUACGAAAGCGUGGGGAGCAAACAGGAUUAGAUACCCUGGUAGUCCACGCCGUAAACGAUGUCUACUAGAAGCUCGGAACCUCGGUUCUGUUUUUCAAAGCUAACGCAUUAAGUAGACCGCCUGGGGAGUACGGCCGCAAGGUUAAAACUC
Molecule: ribosomal RNA, 529 nt
Filed under: Pseudoalteromonas sp.
Lineage: Bacteria; Pseudomonadati; Pseudomonadota; Gammaproteobacteria; Alteromonadales; Pseudoalteromonadaceae
Description: bacterial SSU rRNA
Rfam family: Bacterial small subunit ribosomal RNA
Source: RNAcentral